AAAGGAAUAGACGGGGACCCGCACAAGCGGUGGAACAUGUGGUUUAAUUCGAGGCAACGCGAAGAACCUUACCAAGACUUGACAUGCCCUCUAUGGAGAACAGAAAUGAUCUCCUUCACCUCGGGUGGGAGGAGCACAGGUGCUGCAUGGCUGUCGUCAGCUCGUGUCGUGAGAUGUUGGGUUAAGUCCCGCAACGAGCGCAACCCUCAUCCUCUGUUGCUAACAGGUAAUGCUGAGAACUCUGAGGAAACUGCCGGUGAUAAGCCGGAGGAAGGUGGGGAUGACGUCAAGUCCUCAUGGCCCUUACGUCUUGGGCUACACACGUGUUACAAUGGCGGUGACAAUGGGCUGCAAACCCGCAAGGGUAAGCGAAUCUCAAAAAGCCGCCUCAGUUUGGAUUGUACUCUGCAACUCGAGUACAUGAAAUUGGAAUCGCUAGUAAUCGCGGAUCAGCACGCCGCGGUGAAUACGUUCCCGGGUCUUGUACACACCGCCCGU
Molecule: ribosomal RNA, 498 nt
Filed under: uncultured bacterium
Lineage: Bacteria
Description: bacterial SSU rRNA
Rfam family: Bacterial small subunit ribosomal RNA
Source: RNAcentral